UAAUACCGGCGGCUCGAGUGGUGGCCGAUAUUAUUGAGUCUAAAGGGUCCGUAGCCGGCUUGGCAAGUCUCUUGGGAAAUCCGGCGGCUUAACCGCUGGGCGUCCGGGAGAUACUACCUUGCUUGGGACUGGGAGAGGCGUGAGGUACUCAGGGGGUAGGAGUGAAAUCCUGUAAUCCUUUGGGGACCACCGGUGGCGAAGGCGUCACGCCAGAACAGGUCCGACGGUGAGGGACGAAAGCUAGGGGCACGAACCGGAUUAGAUACCCGGGUAGUCCCAGCCGUAAACGAUGCUCGCUAGGUGUCAGGCAUGGCGCGACCGUGUCUGGUGCCGCAGGGAAGCCGUGAAGCGAGCCACCUGGGAAGUACGGCCGCAAGGCUGAAACUUAAAUGAAUUGACGG
Molecule: ribosomal RNA, 401 nt
Filed under: uncultured archaeon
Lineage: Archaea
Description: bacterial SSU rRNA
Rfam family: Archaeal small subunit ribosomal RNA
Source: RNAcentral